CACGUAGGGCGCAAGCGUUGUCCGGAAUUAUUGGGCGUAAAGAGCUCGUAGGCGGUCUGUUGCGUCCGCUGUGAAAACUCGGGGCUUAACCCCGAGCCUGCAGUGGAUACGGGCAGACUAGAGGUAGGUAGGGGAGAAUGGAAUUCCCGGUGUAGCGGUGAAAUGCGCAGAUAUCAGGAGGAACACCGAUGGCGAAGGCAGGUCUCUGGGCAGUAACUGACGCUGAGGCGCGAAAGCAUGGGGAGCGAACAGG
Molecule: ribosomal RNA, 253 nt
Filed under: uncultured bacterium
Lineage: Bacteria
Description: partial 16S ribosomal RNA
Rfam family: Bacterial small subunit ribosomal RNA
Source: RNAcentral